This 357-nucleotide ribosomal RNA is filed under the name Eleutherodactylus cuneatus (Juventud robber frog). Its description in RNAcentral is "partial 12S ribosomal RNA". It matches the Rfam family "Bacterial small subunit ribosomal RNA", at positions 871 to 1384 of the family's 1533-position model. Lineage: Eukaryota; Metazoa; Chordata; Amphibia; Anura; Eleutherodactylidae. The record is from RNAcentral.
GUCAGGGAAUUACAAGCAAAGCUUAAAACCCAAAGGACUUGACGGUACCCCAUAUCCCCCUAGAGGAGCCUGUCCUAUAAUCGAUAAUCCCCGUUUAACCUCACCACGUCUAGCUUAUCAGCCUGUAUACUUCCGUCGCAAGCCUACCACGUGAGCGAAGCCUAGUUAGCCCAAUGUCCACACAUAUACCAAUAUCAACAAUACGUCAGGUCAAAGUGCAGCAAACGAUGUGGGAUGAGAUUGGCUACACUUUUUAACUUAAAAGAAACGGAAAACAACAUGAAACUUUGUCAGAAGGUGGAUUUAGCAGUAAAAAAAAGAUAUAAAAUUUCUUUUAACUCGGCACUGGGGAUGUGU